UUUCUCUAGAAAUAUCAUCAUUU
RNAcentral lists this non-coding RNA (23 nucleotides) under Arabidopsis thaliana (thale cress). The record is from RNAcentral. Lineage: Eukaryota; Viridiplantae; Streptophyta; Magnoliopsida; Brassicales; Brassicaceae.